RNAcentral lists this non-coding RNA (25 nucleotides) under Cricetulus griseus (Chinese hamster). Lineage: Eukaryota; Metazoa; Chordata; Mammalia; Rodentia; Cricetidae. The record is from RNAcentral.
CAGUGUGGAAAAGACUAAAGAGUGC